RNAcentral lists this ribosomal RNA (254 nucleotides) under uncultured bacterium. RNAcentral's name for it is "partial 16S ribosomal RNA". It matches the Rfam family "Bacterial small subunit ribosomal RNA", at positions 524 to 776 of the family's 1533-position model. The record is from RNAcentral.
UACGUAGGGGGCGAGCGUUGUCCGGAUUUAUUGGGCGUAAAGAGCUCGUAGGCGGUUUGGCAAGUCGGGUGUGAAAACUCCGGGCUCAACUCGGAGACGCCACUCGAUACUGCCAUGACUCGAGUCCGGUAGGGGAGUGCGGAAUUCCUGGUGUAGCGGUGAAAUGCGCAGAUAUCAGGAGGAACACCUAUUGCGAAGGCAGCUUACUACGCCUAUAUUGACGCUGAGGCACGAAAGCGUGGGGAUCAAACAGG